RNAcentral lists this ribosomal RNA (460 nucleotides) under uncultured bacterium. RNAcentral's name for it is "bacterial SSU rRNA". It matches the Rfam family "Bacterial small subunit ribosomal RNA", at positions 30 to 507 of the family's 1533-position model. The record is from RNAcentral.
AUUGAACGCUGGCGGCAUGCCUUACACAUGCAAGUCGAACGGUAACAGGUCUUCGGAUGCUGACGAGUGGCGAACGGGUGAGUAAUAUAUCGGAACGUGCCCAGUCGUGGGGGAUAACGCAGCGAAAGCUGUGCUAAUACCGCAUACGAUCUAUGGAUGAAAGCGGGGGAUCGCAAGACCUCGCGCGAUUGGAGCGGCCGAUAUCAGAUUAGGUAGUUGGUGGGGUAAAGGCCCACCAAGCCAACGAUCUGUAGCUGGUCUGAGAGGACGACCAGCCACACUGGAACUGAGACACGGUCCAGACUCCUACGGGAGGCAGCAGUGGGGAAUUUUGGACAAUGGGCGCAAGCCUGAUCCAGCAAUGCCGCGUGCAGGAUGAAGGCCUUCGGGUUGUAAACCUCUGUCAUGGGGGAAGAAGUAAGUGACGGUACCCCAAGAGGAAGCCCCUGCUAACUACGUG